CGCGGCCUAUCAGCUUGUUGGUGAGGUAACGGCUCACCAAGGCAUUGACGGGUAGCUAGUCUGAGAGGACGAAUAGCCACACUGGGACUGAGACACGGCCCAGACUUCUACGGAAGGCAGCAGCAGGGAAUCUUGCACAAUGGACGAAAGUCUGAUGCAGCGACGCCGCGUGGGGGAUGAAGGCCCUAGGGUCGUAAACCCCUUUCAGCAGGGACGAAAAUGACGGUACCUGCAGAAGAAGCUCCGGCCAACUACGUGCCAGCAGCCGCGGUAAGACGUAGGGGGCGAGCGUUGUCCGGAUUUAUUGGGCGUAAAGAGCUCGUAGGCGGUUGCGUAAGUCGGAUGUGAAAACUCAGGGCUCAACCCUGAGACGCCAUCCGAUACUGCGCUGACUUGAAUCCAGUAGGGGAGUGUGGAAUUCCUGGUGUAGCGGUGAAAUGCGCAGAUAUCAGGAGGAACACCUAUGGCGAAGGUAGCACUCUGGGCUGGUAUUGACGCUGAGGAGCGAAAGCAUGGGUAGCAAACAGGAUUAGAUACCCUGGUAGUCCAUGCCGUAAACGUUGGGCACUAGGUGUGGGGACUUUCAACGGUUUCCGUGCCGAAGCUAACGCAUUAAGUGCCCCGCCUGGGGAGUACGG
RNAcentral lists this ribosomal RNA (638 nucleotides) under uncultured Actinomycetes bacterium. RNAcentral's name for it is "bacterial SSU rRNA". It matches the Rfam family "Bacterial small subunit ribosomal RNA", at positions 232 to 885 of the family's 1533-position model. Lineage: Bacteria; Bacillati; Actinomycetota; Actinomycetes. The record is from RNAcentral.